RNAcentral lists this ribosomal RNA (1467 nucleotides) under Triticum aestivum (bread wheat). Its description in RNAcentral is "partial small subunit ribosomal RNA". Lineage: Eukaryota; Viridiplantae; Streptophyta; Magnoliopsida; Poales; Poaceae. The record is from RNAcentral.
AUGGCCUCACCACCCCAUCUCAACAAACACCUCAAACCAUUGUUCCAGCUCGUCGUAAACAACUUCCUUGUGUUCGUCGCCGCACCGGUGACAGUCAUCGUGGUCCUCCGUAAAGCCGCACAGCUCGGUCCCGAGGAGAUCCUCUCCCGGCUCCAUGGUUUGCGGCAGGUCCACGUUCUGCUGGCCAUCUUCCUACCGUUCGCUUUGGCCACCCUCUACCUGAUGAGUCGCCCUCGUAGCGUGUACCUCAUCGACUAUGCUUGCUGCCGGCCAAAAUCCAAUUGUCGCGUCUCCAUAGGCUCCUCCAUCGAGAACGUUCGCUUCUCGCCUUACCUCGAUGAUGGAGGUGUCGACUUCAUGACCCGCAUGCUCAAGCGCUCGGGCCUCGGUGACCAGACCUACCUCCAUCCUUCAUUCCACUAUAUCCCCCCACGAUGUUGCUUAAGCGAUGGUCGUGACGAGGCGGAGCAGGUCAUCUUUUCAGCUGUCGACGACUUGCUCGCCAGGACUGGCAUAAGUCCUGGAACUAUCGACAUACUCGUCACCAACUGCAGUGGAUUCAACCCGACCCCGAGCUUGGCUGACAUCGUCGUGAACAAGUACAAGCUCAGAACCGACAUCCGAAGCGUGCACAUAUCCGGGAUGGGGUGCAGCGCAGGGGUGAUUUCCCUAGAGGUCGUGAGAAACCUCCUGCAGGCGGCACCACGGGGCGCGCGCGCCCUCAUGGUGUCUACGGAGGGCACAUGUAUCGUCAACUACACCGGCAAGAACCGAGGGAUGCUGUUGCCGUACUCCCUGUUCCGCAUGGGCGCGGCCGCGGUGCUGCUGUCGACAUCCAAGUCCGUGGCCCGCUUCCGGCUCAUGCAUGUCGUGCGAACGCUCACCGCCACACAAGACAGAGCGUACUUGUGCAUUUCCAUGAAAGAGGACGAUGAGGGAGAAACGGGAGCAUACCUAUCCAAGGACCUUGUGUCAGUUGCCGGCGAAGCACUCAAGGCCAAUAUCGCGACAAUGGGGGCCCUUGUCCUCCCGCCCUCAGAGAAGAUUCUCUUUGCGAUCUCAUUCAUUGCACGGGAGGUGCUGAGAAGCAAGAUCAAGCUAUAUGUCCCGGAUUUCCGGACGGCCUUCCAACACUUCUGCAUCCAUUCUGGUGGUCGGGCAGUGAUCGACGCGGUGCAAAAUAGCUUAAGCUUAUCAGACAGGGAUGUUGAGGCAUCACGGAUGACGCUUCACCGGUUCGGGAACACAUCUAGCAGUUCAUUGUGGUAUGAACUUGCAUACAUCGAGGCCAAGAGGCGGAUGCGGAAGGGCGGCCGGGUGUGGAUGAUCGGGUUCGGCUCUGGGUUCAAGUGCAACAGCGCCGUGUGGCAGUGCAUGAGGCCGGACAGCAACACCACUGUUGCCACGCCAUGGGCUGAUUCUAUUCAUCUGUAUCCUCUCAACAACAUCUCGGAGGAAGUGGGCUAA